Small nuclear RNA from Molossus molossus (Pallas's mastiff bat), 132 nucleotides. RefSeq annotates it as U11 spliceosomal RNA. The record is from RefSeq and is a predicted model, not a curated record. NCBI's taxonomy places the organism in Eukaryota, Metazoa, Chordata, Mammalia, Chiroptera, Molossidae. The transcript has a single exon.
AAAGAGGGCUCUGUCGUGAGCAGCACAUGCAGGGCAGCUUGACCGUUCUACGUGCAGAAUCGACAUCAAGAGAUUUCGGAAGCAUACUUUUUGGUACUUGGACAGUUGGUGAUCGUUGGUCCUGGUGCCCAC